Molecule: long non-coding RNA, 5236 nt
Filed under: Marmota monax (woodchuck)
Lineage: Eukaryota; Metazoa; Chordata; Mammalia; Rodentia; Sciuridae
Source: RNAcentral
AUACUUUGAGAUCUGUUCAAUCUUCUACUUAUUCCAUGGCUCAACUAAUAAGACUCUGAAUCUGAUUCACAGUGGUACCAAAGAGAACGAUGAUCAUUUCAUUGCUACAGUUUCACCAAAUUCUGCAGUCACAGAGUCAAGCAAGGAUGGUAUAGAACCAAGAGUUGUCCUCAGGACCCAUUUCAGCUUUUCAAAUAAAGCCUCCCAGGAGGUAAUAAAAAGGACAAAUGUGUUUAAGUCAAUGAAAUGUUGAUGGGGCUUUCUAUAUGGGGAGCAAGUUUUCAGGAUUAUUUUGAGUAUAAUGAGAUGUUAAGUAUAAAUAUUUUUAGGUAAAGAUGUAGGAUGUCAAUGAAAAUCCCAAAAAAGUAAAAUUAGUACUGAUCUUUUCCAUAAAAUCACAGUAAAGAGGAUGCUUUCAAAAAACUGCCUCCAUGAAACACAGUUUUUAUUAUUGAUAUUAUUUGUGAACAUGGAAUCCCUUUUUAAUAGUUAGAAUUAUAGAUAUAUAAGACAGCAGCAUGAAUAUUUUGAAUUCGAAUUAAUUUUAAGUAUUUUGACUUGAUAUCAGAGUGCCAGUAUCUGGUUUCUACUGUUUUUUUUUUGUUGUUGUUGUUGUUGUUGUUGUUUUGUUGUUGUUGUUUUUUACCAUGUAUUUCUUUUCUCUGACAUCUUGACUUCUUUUAGCUGCUGACUGGUUGUGAACAGAGUAUGGCUAUUUCUUUGACCUACAGCCCUGGCUUUCUGUAAUCCACAGAUUCUCAGGUAUAAUCACAACUGCUGUUCAGCCCUUGGACUGAAAACAAAAAGUGUGUGUGUGUGUGUGUGUGUGUGUGUGUGUGUGUGUGUGUGUAUAAACCUAUAGGCAGUGACAGGCUUUAUAUGUCCCACCCAUGUGUUAACAAAAUUGGUGAUAAAUACCCAGUGUGUUCAGUUAUACUACAACUUCAAAAUCUUGGUCAAACCUUUCUCAUUCUUUCAUCUCAUGCCUCUUUUUUUUUUUUGCUCACUCUCUUUAUCCUACUUAUAUAACUAGACCAGCCAUUGUGCCCCUCCCACUGGUUUACUUUUUGAUCAUUCUCUUAAUCUUUCUUUGUGCCAGGUCUGACACAGCUCUGUUCAGAUCUUUUCCCUUUCUCUUUUAGGUUAAAGAUUUUUAAAAUUGUUCCCAGCUCUAUAAGUGCUUUGCUUUUUCAUAUGAUGCUUGUUACCCACUCAGAAAAUUCAUUCCAUGCUUUGAGUGGCUGACUUCUGUGGACCACAUCAACCAAGUCCUUUGCCCUCUGGUUUCUGUUUGGUUUCAACCAAUUUGGGAGGCAUUGACAAAUGUUCAGAAAACAGAGAGGAAGAAAGAGUUGGGAUAUUCCACUCUUCUUCCUGCCUGAUUGUGGUUAUAGCUUCAUUCUACUCAGGCCCAUAGCUUUUGUCAGACACCUCUGUCCCAUGCCUAAAGACCUUGCAAAGUUCCAGAAACUCCUUCUUCAAUUUGUGCUUUAAGGUCUAUGGAUGGUAUUCAUUGGAUGCUUUAUCAUUCCUUCCCUUGAAACCUGCCCAUACCUUUGUAAAUAGUCUCUUCAUUAUAUUUUCUUCUGUUACUCUUUGAAUAAGUCAUCAGUCUCCUGCCAGGGCCCUAAGUAACAGGCAAACAGACAUUAAAAAUUAUUUUUAAUGCUAAUAUCAGCCAAGUAUUCCACUCCCAUGAAUUAUAGCCUUGAAGUUUGAGUAUGAUGUCUUCUAUCAUUCAUUCAACAUGUAUAUAUGCAUGUUUUAAUGUAUGUGUAUAUGCAUAAUCUAGUAAAUACAAUUACAUAGCAAUCGUUCAAUAACUUUGUGGAAUGAAGACCUCUGUCUUGAUUGAUCAAAAAUCUGGUCGGGUUUGCUUUAUGUUCUUAAAACAAUGAGAGAAAAAAAAAUCACAAUACCAUAGUAUUAUGGUUAUAGCUUCAUUCUACAAUUUCAAUACCUAGUUGUCCCCAAUUUUUUUCCUACUCUUUAAUGAUAGAACUGUCUACUCUUUAUUAUAUAGCUCCUUGAAAUAAUGUCUCUAUUUCCCUCUCUGCUACUAGAUGCUACUGUGCUAUUAGAUCUGACCAUGAGAUGUAAAAGUGGAAAUGGUGUGUGCAACAUUGAGGAAGUUCUUCAAAAGAAGAUAAUUCACCAUUCUUUCCUUCUUCCUGCUGGUUGAAAUUAGACCUGCUGGCUCAAGAUCCUUACAGAAGGCAGAGCAACAAGACUGAAAGAGCUGAGUCCUUGACACUGGAAUACCAAAAUCACCCUUGAAUUUCUACCUCCAUCCACUUUUACAUGGAGAGAAAUAAACUUUUAUUUAAGCUACAAUUAUCCUAGGUUUUCUGACAUAUACAGCCAAAAUUAUCUUGUUCAAUGUGGAUAUGUGUAUUAGCUUCCUACUGCUAAAGUAAAAAUAUUACCACAAGUUUAAUGGAUUAAAACAAAUGUAAUUCUAGAAGUCAGAGUACAAAAUGGGUCUCAUGAGACUAAAAUCAAGGUUUUGGCAAGAUGAGUCUACUUCAGAAAACUCUAGGGAGAGUAUGUUACUUUGCCUUUUCCAGCUCCUAGAGGCUGCUCACAUUCCUUGGCUCUUUAGCAUCUUCUUCCAUCUUCAAAGCCAGCAACAUCUGGCAGUCAUAUUGCCAGCUCACUGUUUCUUUUAUACUGCCUCCCUCUUCCACAUAAAAAGGACUUUGCUAUUCAGUUGAACCCACCCAGAUAAUCAGGACAUCUUCCCAUUUUAAGAUCAACUGAUUAGCAAGCUUAAUUCCAUCUGCAAUUUUAAUUCCCCCUUGUGAUAUAACCUAACAUUCACAGGGUUGGGUGAGUAAGACAUGAACACCUUUGGGGGCCACUGUUCUGCCUACUACAGUGUACAGAUUUUUAAGUUUUGUGAUUGAGAAAUACGUUUUUACUUUAUGAUUUAUCUUUAAUACAUUUACAACUUAUAACCCUAUGCUAAUUAGUCAUUACUCUUUAUAGAACAUUUAGCAUUGUGCCCCAUAAUUUUUAAAUUUUAUAUAUGUGAAGGACAGGUAGUCUAAAAAUGAAUUAUAAUCUUUUCUAAAUUCACAGGGAAAGUGUAAGUAGGAUAUUUUCAGUAUUGAAUUUUUCUUCAUAUUUUUAAUAAUUUGCUUGCAGUUAUUUACUUCUCAUACAAGAUUCCAUGUAAGUUAAGAUAAAGUUCAAUAUAGAAUUAUUUUCAAGUGUAAAUUGUACGUAUUUCCUGGUGUUCCUCACUUUCCAAACACAUUUGAGUACAGCACUUUAUGAUCCUCUAAUCGUCAAAAAUUUUAAAUUGGUUAAUUUCAUGGAAAUCCAAAUAGUAUGUUGGUGUUACUCCUUCAUUCAAUGCCUAUUUUCAAUCCUAAAGCUUUAAUGGGGUGGGGGUGAGAGAAUUAAAAGCUAGAAGUCACAGAGUAUGCAAAUCUUAAGGAUGGAACUAUAGUGCUUUUGGGGUGCAUAUCCAAUAGAAUUAAGCCCCACAUAGCUAAUAAUUCCCCCAUACUUUAGUUUGUCCAUGCCACUGAUAUAGCAUUUAUCCCUAUAUGUGGACUUUUGUUGAGAGCCACUGCCACAUCAGGAUGGUGCCUGGCAUUUUGCCAGAAGGAGUGGUUGGGAGGUGACGCCAGUGAGCCAUUAAGAUGAUAAUAAUUAAGUUAAGCUGUGUAUAAUUAUUAAGAUAAUGACUGAUUGCUGUAACUGGAUGAUGCUAAAGUGAAACAAGCUGUGUAUUCAGUUGGUAUAUAAACCUCUGCUGUCCAGCAAUAAGGCGGUUCCUGCUACCUCCGGCGCCCGCUACUUUUGAGUUCCCGUUGGUUCUCGCAGAGUUUCCUUGGAGUUAUGGAGAGUUCCCGUGGGGUUCGGGCAAUAAAGUAGUUCCUGUUUGAACCUACAAGUGGCUAGUGGCCUCUCAGGUAUUUGUGCCCAGCCAGACUGCAGGCAGUUUUUGUUUUGUUUACAUCAGGCCCCUCUCCUAAUUAUCUUUGGGUUUCUGUUACUGAAAGCAGUGCCCGUCCAAAACAUUCUUAAUAAUUAUGGAAAAGAGGGAAGGUUUCUUGUCAUUGAUGAAUCAUUACAGCACAGAAAUUUUGUGAAGAGCAAAUAGAAUAGGGUUUGCGGACUAUACCAUAUGUUAUCUGGCACUUGGUAAACAGUACAUGAAAGACAACAAAAAAUAAAUAAAUUCUUAGGCAAAGAUUAAAGUCAGAUGUAAAGGACAUAAUCACUAGAAUUCUUAUAUAGUGUCUUUCUCUUCAAAGCAAAAAAGAUAAUCUUUAUCCCUGAAAUUGUCAUUUAAAGCACAGGUAUAACUAAAGAACAAAAGAAAGAGAUGAUGUUAACAUGUUUUGCUUAGCAUUAGUUGGAAUAUUGUCUAAAAAUGUUAGCUUACCUUAGCUAUAUUAUUUAAGGAACUGUCUCUACAAUAAGUACACUUCCAACCCUAGGAAAAAUAACACUAUUUGCAAUGCAAUUAGCUAGCCUGUGGCACUUGCUAUUCUUAUACAGAUCAUUUUUAAAAUGCAAGUAAAGAUUAUGAAAGAAAUAUAAAAAUUGCCUUAGUGUUGUUUCUUGAUUUGCAGAUACCUAUUUGAACUGUAGAAGCAAAAAGUAGGAAAUUAUCAUAAAGAUAUUGGUGAUUUUUUUUUCAUAGAAUCCAAAAGUAAGAAUGAAGUCAGGUCUCCCAAAUGAAGAAUCAUGAAUACCUCUAAAUGUACAGGUGGUGCCUCUCCAUUUUUUGGCUCUUUGUGUUUCUGUUCCAUUUUGUUGGAAGGCCUACUGUUGUGCAUGAAGGUAGUGUGAGGAGACAGAUAAAUACCUGCUAUAACCAUUCCAUAGUGCUUAGAGAAAAAAAUCCUACAUCGAAAGUGUUAGUCAAUAAAAAUUCUGGUUUUUUUGUAGUUACAAUAGUCAGUUUUUCCAUAUACAUAUAAGAACAACAUAAUUUAGUAAUUUCCUUUAACCUACAUCCAUUUUCCUACAUAGCUACAUAACCUUUAUAUUUGUCCUUUUUUACAUGAUUGUAACAUUCAAGUUGAUAAGUGUAAUUUACUAAGCCAGGGUUCAUAUUGUUGAAAGUUUCAUUAUUUUUGCUUUAUAAAGAAUAAACACUAUUAUAAUAAAGUUUUGUUUUUAUUUGAUUUUUUAUAAUUUCCUGAGAAUACUCUCAAAAUUGGAAAUACUUACUAGAUGGAAAUGACCAUAUUUGUCUUUUUAAACAUAUUGUCCG